CCACCUGUCUCCGCUUCCCUCCCGGGAAGCCGCUCCAAGUCGCCGCACCCCUGCGUUAGCACCAUGCUCGCCGCCUACAGGGAAGCUGAGUUGCAGGGCGCCGUUCAGGUUCGUGCGCCCGAGGCUGUGGCCCCUCAGGCCUGCACUGCCCAGGCCGCCCAUCCGCACCCGCCUGCCCGCCAGCCCGCCCGCGAGGCGGCAGCGGAGUGGUAGGCGCGGCCGGGCCGGGCAUGCAAGGGUCACGCGCGGCCCGGCUCACUCAACCCGCCCCGGAGCUCCUACCUGGGCGGCCGCCGGCUUCCGGCGCAGCUCAGCGAGCACAGCCUCCCGGCGCAGCUACCCGCGGGAGGCGCAACGCUGCGGACUCCGCUCCCUCCGAGAGCUCCGCCCGCUCUUCCCACGCUCGGCGCCCGCGCCGCGCCACCGUGCGGCCAAGUCCGGCGCUGCGCCUGCUGGGAACGCGGUCGCCCCCGCCCAACCGUGAGAAAUGCGGCAGAGGAUCUGACCAGCCAGCCGACCAACCACGUUCUCUCCGGCAACGGGCCCGCCCUAACCUGAGGGCGGCUGCAGAGCUGUCCUAUUCUUCACCGGUUCUGGUUUCUUUUCUUCCAAAGUUUCUCUCAUGACAGCUCUUAUAAGUUUUCUGAAUACAACCUGUAGAGAAUUGGAGAAGAACUGUAGACCCUCCCUACAGAAAAACGCGCACUCUCAUAGAAGCAGAGUUUUGCAUGGUAUUUCAGGAUAUUUUGAAACUUCUCCAUGUCAUGACCGCCAACCUCAGACCUCUACAUGUGCCUGUGAGGGCAGAACUGACCAGCCUUUCUCCUGUGGGGCUCCAACUGCGGCGAUUCAUCAGAAAAUAGCCAGUGGUGCCCAGGAUGGCC
This is a long non-coding RNA of Microtus oregoni (creeping vole), 884 nucleotides long. RefSeq lists it as uncharacterized. NCBI's taxonomy places the organism in Eukaryota, Metazoa, Chordata, Mammalia, Rodentia, Cricetidae. The record is from RefSeq and is a predicted model, not a curated record. The transcript has 3 exons.